GUUAAGCGACUAAGCGUACACGGUGGAUGCCCUGGCAGUCAGAGGCGAUGAAGGACGUGCUAAUCUGCGAUAAGCGUCGGUAAGGUGAUAUGAACCGUUAUAACCGGCGAUUUCCGAAUGGGGAAACCCAGUGUGUUUCGACACACUAUCAUUAACUGAAUCCAUAGGUUAAUGAGGCGAACCGGGGGAACUGAAACAUCUAAGUACCCCGAGGAAAAGAAAUCAACCGAGAUUCCCCCAGUAGCGGCGAGCGAACGGGGAGCAGCCCAGAGCCUGAAUCAGUGUGUGUGUUAGUGGAAGCGUCUGGAAAGGCGCGCGAUACAGGGUGACAGCCCCGUACACAAAAAUGCACAUACUGUGAGCUCGAUGAGUAGGGCGGGACACGUGGUAUCCUGUCUGAAUAUGGGGGGACCAUCCUCCAAGGCUAAAUACUCCUGACUGACCGAUAGUGAACCAGUACCGUGAGGGAAAGGCGAAAAGAACCCCGGCGAGGGGAGUGAAAAAGAACCUGAAACCGUGUACGUACAAGCAGUGGGAGCCUCUUUUAUGGGGUGACUGCGUACCUUUUGUAUAAUGGGUCAGCGACUUAUAUUCUGUAGCAAGGUUAACCGAAUAGGGGAGCCGAAGGGAAACCGAGUCUUAACUGGGCGUUAAGUUGCAGGGUAUAGACCCGAAACCCGGUGAUCUAGCCAUGGGCAGGUUGAAGGUUGGGUAACACUAACUGGAGGACCGAACCGACUAAUGUUGAAAAAUUAGCGGAUGACUUGUGGCUGGGGGUGAAAGGCCAAUCAAACCGGGAGAUAGCUGGUUCUCCCCGAAAGCUAUUUAGGUAGCGCCUCGUGAAUUCAUCUCCGGGGGUAGAGCACUGUUUCGGCAAGGGGGUCAUCCCGACUUACCAACCCGAUGCAAACUGCGAAUACCGGAGAAUGUUAUCACGGGAGACACACGGCGGGUGCUAACGUCCGUCGUGAAGAGGGAAACAACCCAGACCGCCAGCUAAGGUCCCAAAGUCAUGGUUAAGUGGGAAACGAUGUGGGAAGGCCCAGACAGCCAGGAUGUUGGCUUAGAAGCAGCCAUCAUUUAAAGAAAGCGUAAUAGCUCACUGGUCGAGUCGGCCUGCGCGGAAGAUGUAACGGGGCUAAACCAUGCACCGAAGCUGCGGCAGCGACGCUUAUGCGUUGUUGGGUAGGGGAGCGUUCUGUAAGCCUGUGAAGGUGUGCUGUGAGGCAUGCUGGAGGUAUCAGAAGUGCGAAUGCUGACAUAAGUAACGAUAAAGCGGGUGAAAAGCCCGCUCGCCGGAAGACCAAGGGUUCCUGUCCAACGUUAAUCGGGGCAGGGUGAGUCGACCCCUAAGGCGAGGCCGAAAGGCGUAGUCGAUGGGAAACAGGUUAAUAUUCCUGUACUUGGUGUUACUGCGAAGGGGGGACGGAGAAGGCUAUGUUGGCCGGGCGACGGUUGUCCCGGUUUAAGCGUGUAGGCUGGUUUUCCAGGCAAAUCCGGAAAAUCAAGGCUGAGGCGUGAUGACGAGGCACUACGGUGCUGAAGCAACAAAUGCCCUGCUUCCAGGAAAAGCCUCUAAGCAUCAGGUAACAUCAAAUCGUACCCCAAACCGACACAGGUGGUCAGGUAGAGAAUACCAAGGCGCUUGAGAGAACUCGGGUGAAGGAACUAGGCAAAAUGGUGCCGUAACUUCGGGAGAAGGCACGCUGAUAUGUAGGUGAAGUCCCUCGCGGAUGGAGCUGAAAUCAGUCGAAGAUACCAGCUGGCUGCAACUGUUUAUUAAAAACACAGCACUGUGCAAACACGAAAGUGGACGUAUACGGUGUGACGCCUGCCCGGUGCCGGAAGGUUAAUUGAUGGGGUCAGCGCAAGCGAAGCUCUUGAUCGAAGCCCCGGUAAACGGCGGCCGUAACUAUAACGGUCCUAAGGUAGCGAAAUUCCUUGUCGGGUAAGUUCCGACCUGCACGAAUGGCGUAAUGAUGGCCAGGCUGUCUCCACCCGAGACUCAGUGAAAUUGAACUCGCUGUGAAGAUGCAGUGUACCCGCGGCAAGACGGAAAGACCCCGUGAACCUUUACUAUAGCUUGACACUGAACAUUGAGCCUUGAUGUGUAGGAUAGGUGGGAGGCUUAGAAGUGUGGACGCCAGUCUGCAUGGAGCCGACCUUGAAAUACCACCCUUUAAUGUUUGAUGUUCUAACGUGGACCCGUAAUCCGGGUUGCGGACAGUGUCUGGUGGGUAGUUUGACUGGGGCGGUCUCCUCCUAAAGAGUAACGGAGGAGCACGAAGGUUGGCUAAUCCUGGUCGGACAUCAGGAGGUUAGUGCAAUGGCAUAAGCCAGCUUGACUGCGAGCGUGACGGCGCGAGCAGGUGCGAAAGCAGGUCAUAGUGAUCCGGUGGUUCUGAAUGGAAGGGCCAUCGCUCAACGGAUAAAAGGUACUCCGGGGAUAACAGGCUGAUACCGCCCAAGAGUUCAUAUCGACGGCGGUGUUUGGCACCUCGAUGUCGGCUCAUCACAUCCUGGGGCUGAAGUAGGUCCCAAGGGUAUGGCUGUUCGCCAUUUAAAGUGGUACGCGAGCUGGGUUUAGAACGUCGUGAGACAGUUCGGUCCCUAUCUGCCGUGGGCGCUGGAGAACUGAGGGGGGCUGCUCCUAGUACGAGAGGACCGGAGUGGACGCAUCACUGGUGUUCGGGUUGUCAUGCCAAUGGCACUGCCCGGUAGCUAAAUGCGGAAGAGAUAAGUGCUGAAAGCAUCUAAGCACGAAACUUGCCCCG
This 2774-nucleotide ribosomal RNA is filed under the name Escherichia coli. Its description in RNAcentral is "partial 23S ribosomal RNA". It matches the Rfam family "Bacterial large subunit ribosomal RNA". Lineage: Bacteria; Pseudomonadati; Pseudomonadota; Gammaproteobacteria; Enterobacterales; Enterobacteriaceae. The record is from RNAcentral.